CGGGUGAGUAACGCGUGGGUAACCUGCCUCAUACAGGGGGAUAACAGUUAGAAAUGACUGCUAAUACCGCAUAAGCGCACGGGGAUGCAUAUCUUUGUGUGAAAAACUCCGGUGGUAUGAGAUGGACCCGCGUCUGAUUAGCUAGUUGGUGAGGUAACGGCUCACCAAGGCGACGAUCAGUAGCCGACCUGAGAGGGUGACCGGCCACAUUGGGACUGAGACACGGCCCAAACUCCUACGGAAGGCAGCAG
This 251-nucleotide ribosomal RNA is filed under the name uncultured bacterium. RNAcentral's name for it is "partial 16S ribosomal RNA". It matches the Rfam family "Bacterial small subunit ribosomal RNA", at positions 103 to 354 of the family's 1533-position model. The record is from RNAcentral.